Molecule: ribosomal RNA, 500 nt
Filed under: uncultured bacterium
Lineage: Bacteria
Description: bacterial SSU rRNA
Rfam family: Bacterial small subunit ribosomal RNA
Source: RNAcentral
GACGAACGCUGGCGGCGUGCCUAAUACAUGCAAGUCGAACGAAGUUAUGAGGGAGCUUGCUCCCGAUUGACUUAGUGGCGGACGGGUGAGUAACACGUAGGCAACCUGCCCACGAGAUCGGGAUAACAUUCGGAAACGGAUGCUAAGACCGAAUAGUCAAUUUGGCCGCAUGGCCGAAUUGGGAAACACGGAGCAAUCUGUGGCUUGUGGAUGGGCCUGCGGCGCAUUAGCUAGUUGGUGGGGUAAAGGCUCACCAAGGCGACGAUGCGUAGCCGACCUGAGAGGGUGAACGGCCACACUGGGACUGAGACACGGCCCAGACUCCUACGGGAGGCAGCAGUAGGGAAUCUUCCACAAUGGGCGAAAGCCUGAUGGAGCAACGCCGCGUGAGUGAGGAAGGCUUUCGGGUCGUAAAGCUCUGUUGCCAGGGAAGAAUAAGAGCCAGUUAACUGCUGGUUCGAUGACGGUACCUGAGAAGAAAGCCCCGGCUAACUACGUGC